CAACUACUAAAUCCUUCUAAAUGUUCUUCCUACAUGCUUUAUCUUUUAAAUAUUUUGGUGCUUCCUCUUAUCUGUGGUCUGGCCUUUCGUGGUCUUUCACCUUAAAGACUACCUGCCUCUUUUCCUGACUCCCUCAAAUCCAUUCUCCAUCAUACAGAGAAAAUACAAAUCUGACCUUUUAGUUUCCCUUUAAAAGAUUUCUAUUUUCACAGUUAUUUACAGGAUAAAGUAAAAAGGCAUCUGUGUGGUAUAUGAAACCCUUAACCACAGAUUCGCCUGACAAUUUCACCUCUCUAGCUCUUUACUCCCAUCUCAGAGUUUAUACCCUUCAGCAAAACCAGACAAGCCUAUCGGGUAGACACCAGGAUUAUCCUCAUUAUACAAAUCAAGAAAGGAAGACACAAAGAGGGGCAGAAGGGGCAUUACUGCCACUGUAGGACAG
Bos taurus (domestic cattle) is the source of this 442-nucleotide long non-coding RNA. Lineage: Eukaryota; Metazoa; Chordata; Mammalia; Artiodactyla; Bovidae. The record is from Ensembl.